AUGGUUUGAAAAUUUGUCCAAGAC
This 24-nucleotide non-coding RNA is filed under the name Arabidopsis thaliana (thale cress). Lineage: Eukaryota; Viridiplantae; Streptophyta; Magnoliopsida; Brassicales; Brassicaceae. The record is from RNAcentral.